This 134-nucleotide ribosomal RNA is filed under the name uncultured Lysinibacillus sp. RNAcentral's name for it is "partial 16S ribosomal RNA". It matches the Rfam family "Bacterial small subunit ribosomal RNA", at positions 397 to 523 of the family's 1533-position model. The record is from RNAcentral. Lineage: Bacteria; Bacillati; Bacillota; Bacilli; Caryophanales; Bacillaceae.
CCGCGUGAGUGAAGAAGGUUUUCGGAUCGUAAAACUCUGUUGUAAGGGAAGAACAAGUACAGUAGUAACUGGCUGUACCUUGACGGUACCUUAUUAGAAAGCCACGGCUAACUACGUGCCAGCAGCCGCGGUAA